RNAcentral lists this ribosomal RNA (586 nucleotides) under uncultured bacterium. Its description in RNAcentral is "bacterial SSU rRNA". It matches the Rfam family "Bacterial small subunit ribosomal RNA", at positions 338 to 916 of the family's 1533-position model. The record is from RNAcentral.
CCUACGGGAGGCAGCAGUGGGGAAUUUUGGACAAUGGGCGCAAGCCUGAUCCAGCAAUGCCGCGUGCAGGAUGAAGGCCUUCGGGUUGUAAACUGCUUUUGUACGGAACGAAACGGCCCUUUCUAAUACAAGGGGCUAAUGACGGUACCGUAAGAAUAAGCACCGGCUAACUACGUGCCAGCAGCCGCGGUAAUACGUAAGGUGCGAGCGUUAAUCGGAAUUACUGGGCGUAAAGCGAGCGCAGGCGGUUAUAUAAGACAGAUGUGAAAUCCCCGGGCUCAACCUGGGACCUGCAUUUGUGACUGUAUAGCUAGAGUACGGUAGAGGGGGAUGGAAUUCCGCGUGUAGCAGUGAAAUGCGUAGAUAUGCGGAGGAACACCGAUGGCGAAGGCAAUCCCCUGGACCUGUACUGACGCUCAUGCACGAAAGCGUGGGGAGCAAACAGGAUUAGAUACCCUGGUAGUCCACGCCCUAAACGAUGUCAACUGGUUGUUGGGUCUUCAUUGACUCAGUAACGAAGCUAACGCGUGAAGUUGACCGCCUGGGGAGUACGGCCGCAAGGUUGAAACGUUAAAGGAAUUGACGG